This 253-nucleotide ribosomal RNA is filed under the name uncultured bacterium. RNAcentral describes it as "partial 16S ribosomal RNA". It matches the Rfam family "Bacterial small subunit ribosomal RNA", at positions 524 to 776 of the family's 1533-position model. The record is from RNAcentral.
UACGGAGGGUGCAAGCGUUACCCGGAAUCACUGGGCGUAAAGGGCGUGUAGGCGGGAACUCAAGUCCGACUUUAAAGACUGCGGCUCAACCGCAGCAGUGGGUUGGAGACUGGGUUUCUGGACCUCUGGAGAUAGAACUGGAAUUCCUGGUGUAGCGGUGGAAUGCGUAGAUACCAGGAGGAACACCAACGGCGAAGGCAGGUUCUUGGACAGAAGGUGACGCUGAGGCGCGAAAGUGUGGGGAGCGAACCGG